RNAcentral lists this long non-coding RNA (939 nucleotides) under Homo sapiens (human). Its description in RNAcentral is "HSALNT0347346". Lineage: Eukaryota; Metazoa; Chordata; Mammalia; Primates; Hominidae. The record is from RNAcentral.
AUCACAUAGCGUUCAUUUCCCUAAGGGAGGAGAAAAAAUUAAAUUUGUAAGCUUAAGAUUCCAGCUGAAGUACUCAAGAAUCCUGUUUCUCUGACAGAGGAAAGGAACAACAACUUGACUGGACACAUCCUAACCCAACCAUACGCUGUGUUACUUCCUCCACUGCGCCACACACAGCUAUUAUUCUAAGCUCUCUUAUUCAAACCCUUAAGGAUUUGUAAGAACUUGGAAAGAGAAAGUGACUUCAGACAGUUGCUGUGAGUAGUAAUUAAUUCCAGUGAUCAGUGUGAGCUUGCGUAUGGGCAUUUAUGAAAUGAUGUUAGAUUAUGAAAUGCCAAGUGCCCCUCCUAUUCUAGAUGUGAAUUUAGUGAGUGCUGUUGUACAGGAGAAAGGGGCUAAUACAGACCUUUCUUUUUGGGCCAAGGGUGGCUGCUCUGCACCAAAGUUGCUAUUUUUUUAGUUGUUGUUUAGCAAGUCCUACUGUUAAAAACUCAGUCAAUGGCAGCCAGGCCGGUGUAGCAUUGUUGGCAUUGAGUUAGAUCCAAGCACCAAUUGAAUCUCUUGGUUCUCUGAUUGAAGACUAGAUAUGCCUAUCACAUACUGCUCCCAAUCACAUACACACAACCCUCAAUGUACAACAACCUAUUAUUAAAAAAGUGUUAGAAAAUGAUCAUUUACAUAACUCAAAUAUCCUACAGUAUAUUGGCUAAAUGAUUGUAUAGCUAUUCAGUAGAAUGUUAUUUAGCCAUUAACAGACAUGUUAUAGGAACAUAAUUGAUGACUUGGUCAAAUAUACAUUACGUAUUGUUAAAUUAAGAGUAGGUUAAGGCUGGGUAUAGUGGCUCACGCCUGUAAUCCCAGCACUUUGGGAGACUGAGGCAGGUGGAUCAUGAGGUCAGGAAAUUGAGGCCAUCCUGGCCAACAUGGUGAAAUCCCGUC